Long non-coding RNA from Pipra filicauda (Wire-tailed manakin), 498 nucleotides. RefSeq lists it as uncharacterized. The record is from RefSeq and is a predicted model, not a curated record. The transcript is spliced from 3 exons. NCBI's taxonomy places the organism in Eukaryota, Metazoa, Chordata, Aves, Passeriformes, Pipridae.
UUCCUAUAUAAAUUUUGUUUUGUCUGGAAGAUCACUUGGAUUCUUGGGGCGAUAUCAACCACCUUCAGAGGCUGCAGAUCUGGAAAAAAGAAAAAGGAAAGGGUGUAUUCAGACACCUCUAUGAGAAGGCCACGGUCAGGGUUCCUGAGAUCUCCCAUACUGGUUCACCUACUCUGUGAUUUCUGUUUUGGACAAGGCUCAAGUUGUGUUGGCAAGCCUGACCAAGUCCACAAGAAAGGUAUUUUUGACACGCUGCUUUGUAGGCAAUUGCAUUUGGUGAAUACCAGCAAGCGCCAUGCUGCACGUGCAAUCCUCGAUACAGUGGGCUCUUAAAUGCUAUUGUGUGAUGUAAUGGCAAGGUGAUGAUAUGCUCUAUAAGGCAGUUCUUACCUUCAAGAUCUACCUGAAGAAGGGGAAUUUAUGAAAGGACUUUUUUUAAAGUGUUGCUGUGUUCAAAAACCUACAGCCACAGACAGCUCAUGAGGUAAAACUGCACAA